CUACGGGAGGCUGCAGUCGAGAAUCUUCCGCAAUGGACGAAAGUCUGACGGAGCGACGCCGCGUGCGGGAUGAAGGCCUUCGGGUUGUAAACCGCUGUCAGUGGGGAGGAAAUGCAUCAGGGUUCUCCCUGGUGUUUGACCGAUCCGCAGAGGAAGCGCAGGCUAAGUUCGUGCCAGCAGCCGCGGUAACACGAACUGCGCGAACGUUAUUCGGAAUCACUGGGCUUAAAGAGUUCGUAGGCGGCCUUUCAAGUCGGGUGUGAAAUCCCUCGGCUCAACCGAGGAAUUGCGCCUGAUACUGUUGGGCUUGAGGGGGAUAGGGGUGAGCGGAACUGAUGGUGGAGCGGUGAAAUGCGUUGAUAUCAUCAGGAACACCGGUGGCGAAGGCGGCUCACUGGAUCUCUUCUGACGCUGAGGAACGAAAGCUAGGGGAGCGAACGGGAUUAGAACCCCGGUAGUC
Molecule: ribosomal RNA, 460 nt
Filed under: uncultured bacterium
Lineage: Bacteria
Description: partial 16S ribosomal RNA
Rfam family: Bacterial small subunit ribosomal RNA
Source: RNAcentral